CAACAAGGCCAUGGGCCCCCCGGCGCCCCGGCGCUGGAGGGUACCGGCCUGACUUACACACCCACCCUUUGCCUAUGUGUACCUCUAUCGCUUCCUCGGCAGGCCCGCCUGCCGCCAGGAACCACGUAAACCCUUUGCAUCAUACAUCAACUCUGAUACCAACCAAAAACUAUUA
Molecule: unclassified non-coding RNA, 175 nt
Filed under: soil metagenome
Description: partial internal transcribed spacer 1
Source: RNAcentral